CCUACGGGUGACAGCAGUAGGGAAUUUUCGUCAAUGGGCGCAAGCCUGAACGAGCGAUGCCGCGUGAGUGAAGAAGGCCUUCGGGUCGUAACGCUCUGUUGCGGGGGAAAAAAGGCAGCAUCAGGAAAUGGGUGCUGACUGAUGGUGCCCCGCCAGAAAGUCACGGCAACUUACGUGCCAGCAGCCGCGGUAAUACGAAGGUGGCGAGGGUAUACCGGAUGGAUUGGGGGAAAGGGUGCGCAGGCGGUCCUGCAAGUCUGGUGUGAAACGCAUGAGCUCAAAUCAUGCAUGGCAUUGGAAACUGGAGGACUGGAGAGCAGGAGAGGGCGGUGGAACGCCAUGUGUAGCGGUAAAAUGCGUAGAUAUAUGGAAGAACACCAGUGGCGAAGGCGGCCGCCUGGCCUGUUGCUGACGCUGAGGCACGAAAGCGUGGGGAGCAAAUAGGAUUAGAUACCCUUGUAGUC
RNAcentral lists this ribosomal RNA (464 nucleotides) under uncultured bacterium. Its description in RNAcentral is "partial 16S ribosomal RNA". It matches the Rfam family "Bacterial small subunit ribosomal RNA", at positions 338 to 795 of the family's 1533-position model. The record is from RNAcentral.